AGUAACUGCGAGUGAAGCGGCAAAAGCUCAAAUUUGAAAUCUGGCAUCUUUUGGUGUCUGAGUUGUAAUUUAGAGGGGCAUUUUCAGGUUCAACACUAUUCUAAGUUCUUUGGAACAGGACAUCAUAGAGGGUGAGAAUCCCGUGCCUGGGUAGUUGUUUGAUCCUAUGUGAAGUGUCUCCGACGAGUCGAGUUGUUUGGGAAUGCAGCUCAAAAUGGGUGGUAAAUUUCAUCUAAAGCUAAAUAUUGGCGAGAGACCGAUAGCGCACAAGUAGAGUGAUCGAAAGAUGAAAAGCACUUUGAAAAGAGAGUUAAAAAGUACGUGAAAUUGUUGAAAGGGAAGCACUUGCGACCAGAAUCAAUCUUUGGGGGUCAUCUGAGUUUCGGCUUGGUGCCAUCCCUAUUGAUUGGGCCAGCAUCGGUUUUGGUGGUAGGAUAAAAGGUUGAGGGAAUGUGGCUCUCCUUGGAGAGUGUUAUAGCCCUUAUCAUAAUACUGCCUACUGGGACCGAGGAUCGCGCUUAGGUAAGCUAGGAUGCUGGCAUAAUGGUUUUAAGUGACCCGUCUUGAAACACGGACCAAGGAGUCUAACAUCUAUGCGAGUGUUUGGGUGGAAAACCCUUGCGCGUAAUGAAAGUAAAUGGAGGUGGGAACCUUUUAACCGAGGUGCACCAUCGACCAGUCCUAAUGUUUUUCGGAAGGAUCUGAGUAAGAGCAUAGCUGUUGGGACCCGAAAGAUGGUGAACUAUGCCUGAAUAGGGUGAAGCCAGAGGAAACUCUGGUGGAGGCUCGCAGCGGUUCUGACGUGCAAAUCGAUCGUCGAAUUUGGGUAUAGG
This 833-nucleotide ribosomal RNA is filed under the name Trichophaea woolhopeia. RNAcentral's name for it is "partial large subunit ribosomal RNA". It matches the Rfam family "Eukaryotic large subunit ribosomal RNA", at positions 82 to 921 of the family's 3401-position model. Lineage: Eukaryota; Fungi; Ascomycota; Pezizomycetes; Pezizales; Pyronemataceae. The record is from RNAcentral.